RNAcentral lists this ribosomal RNA (253 nucleotides) under uncultured bacterium. Its description in RNAcentral is "partial 16S ribosomal RNA". It matches the Rfam family "Bacterial small subunit ribosomal RNA", at positions 524 to 776 of the family's 1533-position model. The record is from RNAcentral.
UACGGAGGGUGCAAGCGUUAUCCGGAUUCACUGGGUUUAAAGGGUGCGUAGGUUGAUUAGUAAGUCAGUGGUGAAAUCUCCGGGCUUAACCCGGAAACUGCCAUUGAUACUAUUAGUCUUGAAUACCGUGGAGGUCAGCGGAAUAUGUCAUGUAGCGGUGAAAUGCUUAGAUAUGACAUAGAACACCAAUUGCGAAGGCAGCUGGCUACACGAGCAUUGACACUCAGGCACGAAAGCGUGGGGAUCAAACAGG